RNAcentral lists this ribosomal RNA (417 nucleotides) under uncultured bacterium. RNAcentral's name for it is "bacterial SSU rRNA". It matches the Rfam family "Bacterial small subunit ribosomal RNA", at positions 357 to 772 of the family's 1533-position model. The record is from RNAcentral.
GGGAAUAUUGCGCAAUGGGCGAAAGCCUGACGCAGCCAUGCCGCGUGCAGGAUGAAGGCCUUCUGGGUUGUAAACUGCUUUUUUACGGGAAGAAAAAACUCUUGCGAGAGGAACUGACGGUACCGUAAGAAUAAGCACCGGCUAACUCCGUGCCAGCAGCCGCGGUAAUACGGAGGGUGCAAGCGUUGUCCGGAUUUAUUGGGUUUAAAGGGUGCGUAGGCGGCCCGUUAAGUCAGUGGUGAAAGCCAACAGCUCAACUGUUGAACUGCCAUUGAUACUGACGGGCUUGAGUACAGACGAGGUAGGCGGAAUUGAAGAUGUAGCGGUGAAAUGCAUAGAUAUCUUCAAGAACACCGAUUGCGUAGGCAGCUUACUAGGCUGUAACUGACGCUGAGGCACGAAAGCGUGGGGAGCGAA